AAAAAGUGUUGAAAAAUAAAUCAGAAACAAAAUAAAUAUGUAGAGUCGUCUCUCAAAACAGAGAUUUUAGAGAUGGUAAGAGACGCAUACGUGGUGGUUUUUGAUUGGUUAAAAUUUUAGACAAAAAAUAUGUUUUUUCUUUUUUUCUUUUCCUUGACUUUCUCUCUUGCUCGACAAACUUGAUCGAUCAAGUAGUCAAUUUCUUUAUCCUUCCUUCUCUCUUGCGAAUUUCUUCAAACACACACAGCUGUCUCAAUUCUUGCUCAAUUUUAUUGAUUCAAAGUUCUAUUUCACUCAAUUUUGGCUCCAGAAUCCAUCUGUAUCACUCUCUUUCACUCCCAAGCAAGAGAAGAUUAUAAGAUAUGUGAGUUGAAGACAAGAAGAAGAAGAAGAAGAAGAAGAAGAAGACAACAGAGACGACUAUAAGACAUUUGACAUGUAAUUUUCAUUUGGCUGUGUUUUAUGUCAUGUUUGUUUAAAUUUUAUGAAAUGCAAUUAUUUCUCAAUUUGAAAUUUUAAAGAAACCCAUGUGGUUUCUACCA
Long non-coding RNA from Camelina sativa (false flax), 542 nucleotides. RefSeq lists it as uncharacterized. The record is from RefSeq and is a predicted model, not a curated record. Lineage: Eukaryota; Viridiplantae; Streptophyta; Magnoliopsida; Brassicales; Brassicaceae.